GCGGGUGUAGCUCAAUGGUAGAGCGCCAGCCUUCCAAGCUGGACACGUGGGUUCGAUUCCCAUCACCCGCUCCA
RNAcentral lists this transfer RNA (74 nucleotides) under Marinibaculum pumilum. Its description in RNAcentral is "tRNA-Gly". It matches the Rfam family "tRNA". Rfam says of the family: Transfer RNA (tRNA) molecules are approximately 80 nucleotides in length. Their secondary structure includes four short double-helical elements and three loops (D, anti-codon, and T loops). The record is from RNAcentral. RNAcentral also lists the same sequence under 3 other names. Lineage: Bacteria; Pseudomonadati; Pseudomonadota; Alphaproteobacteria; Rhodospirillales; Rhodospirillaceae.